AAAAAAAGAAGCUUGUGUGAUGCAAUGCCAGUUCUAUUCGACCCAGCCACCCAAAUUUUGGAAGCACUUUCUCUCUCUUAAUUUUCAAGAAUUUCCAAUCCUUCACAAAUCUGGUCACUCAAGAUAAGUUCUUGUGACAAUAUGUUCUUGAGCAGAAGUUCUUUUACAGUAUUUUUUAGAUCUGAAUUGCGUUGUUCUCCCGUGUUUCCUAUUUUUUGUUUGCGGUACAAAACCCUCUGUUGUCCCUUGCUUUCCUAUUUCCCUUCGCUACACAAACCCAAAAAGACUUGCGUUUUGCCUCUACCAAAUGCUCUCUCACCAAAAAGGUAUUUUGUCACUUUUGAAAAGGAUGGACAAAUUGAAGAAGCCAAGUAGGAACGUUGAGUUUGGUGGACUGUUGCGCUCUUGUGGACCAUUCUAUUUAGUUAAUCUGACUUUGGAGGACCAUACUAUUUACUUAAACUACCUGAGCUUUUGUUGUUGGUAUCCAUCAUUGUGAUACCAUUUUGUUCAUAAUGGAAAUAAUUUGAUCUCUGUGAUCUAUAAGCUAUUUUUGCCUAUUGCAUUAGGUAAACUGUUGAUGUCGUGCUUGCCUCUAA
RNAcentral lists this long non-coding RNA (599 nucleotides) under Amborella trichopoda. Its description in RNAcentral is "long non-coding RNA (ATRI_LNC003521)". The record is from RNAcentral. Lineage: Eukaryota; Viridiplantae; Streptophyta; Magnoliopsida; Amborellales; Amborellaceae.